This 253-nucleotide ribosomal RNA is filed under the name uncultured bacterium. Its description in RNAcentral is "partial 16S ribosomal RNA". It matches the Rfam family "Bacterial small subunit ribosomal RNA", at positions 524 to 776 of the family's 1533-position model. The record is from RNAcentral.
UACGUAGGGAGCAAGCGUUGUCCGGAAUCAUUGGGCGUAAAGCGCGCGUAGGUGGCUUCGUAAGUCCGUUGUGAAAGUCAAAGGCUCAACCUUUGAAAGCCGAUGGAUACUGCGGAGCUAGAGUACGGAAGAGGCGAGUGGAAUUCCUGGUGUAGCGGUGGAAUGCGCAGAUAUCAGGAAGAACACCCGUGGCGAAGGCGGCUCUCUGGAACGCAACUGACGCUGAGACGCGAAAGCGUGGGGAGCAAACAGG